This 951-nucleotide long non-coding RNA is filed under the name Patiria miniata (bat star). Its description in RNAcentral is "uncharacterized LOC119735937, transcript variant X1". Lineage: Eukaryota; Metazoa; Echinodermata; Asteroidea; Valvatida; Asterinidae. The record is from RNAcentral.
AGUUAAGCCAGGAAGUUGAAAAAAAGAAACUAGUUCUUGAGUUGAAUGUCGGGGUAGUCACAACUGGAUCUGAAAGAACUUUCCAUAUCCCAAGUGUAGAGGAUGCCACCUAUACUUCAGGGUCAACCCAAUCAGAGUAAAAUUGGAUUCAAAUUGACCAAAGACUGGACAAACAAAUCAGAGAGAAUGUUGAGAAAGUGAACAAGUUUUUGCUGACUCACUUUUGCUUCAUGUGAAGAGGGUCGACCCAGCCAGAGUUAAGGAUUCAGAUCAACCAACAACUGGACAAAAAAUCCAGGGCUGUCGCAGAGUGGGAAAUUUGAGUCACAGUUUGUCAGUGAGCAGUUCAAAAUUCCCAGGCCGCAACAUUUAGGGAUAUUGCACCAACCCCUGGAUGGAUGGGGCUAUCGAUGUGUCAUUGCAUGCAUGCUCUAGAAGUUAACAAAAUUUGCUCAGCUCCAUGGAUAUAGUGUACUACAAUUUUCGAGAAAAUACCAAGACUUCGUCUUCUAGCACUCUGCAUUUCCAAAACUCUGUUGACAUAUUGUUGGAAAUCACCUACAUUUCUUGAUUUGUUUUUUGAAAGCAAGCCAGACAAAAUAAAUUCACGGCGUGUUUACCACCAGUACGAUCUUUAAUCCAAGUAAGGCUUUUGAGAAUAAUUCAGUAACUUAGUUUUGGGGUACAUGUAUGCAAAUGAUUCUGUACUGUACGCCUUUAAGGGGAGGAGAUGACAUGCAAAAUGUGAGUCCUAAUUAAGCAGGUCAUCAGGGGAAACUGGAUCUCCUGUUUCGGAGGGGAAGCAUAAAGUUCAGGCUGAGGUAAGCUUCUGAAAGCUAUAAAUAAAUUUGGUUUCUUUGUUACUAAAUUCAUGGUGACUGAUAUAUUUCCACAUAGGCCUACAUAGAUUCACUUUUGUAAUUUAACAAUAAAAACAACUGAUAGAUGUAA